Molecule: long non-coding RNA, 269 nt
Organism: Drosophila rhopaloa
Lineage: Eukaryota; Metazoa; Arthropoda; Insecta; Diptera; Drosophilidae
Exons: 2
Source: RefSeq, a predicted model, not a curated record
GAAAGUGUGAGUGUGUGCUUCUUGAGGGGAUCCAGAUGAUUAAUGGCUGUACAAUCUGAGUGGGAUUGUCACCAGGAUGUAGGAUCAAGGACCUCUUAAGGUGAAAUAUGUGUAUGUGUGUGUUUGAUUGAGGAGCGGUUGCAGAAGGCUUAAAGCGAUACCAUCAUACUUGGACAGGAUGCAGUGCAUCAAGGAUUUAACUGAGUAUGUACUAUUAUUAUAAUAAAUAAAACUCAAAAUUUACACCUUAAAAAGUAAUUUAUUUUUAA